UGGGGAAUAUUGCACAAUGGAGGGAACUCUGAUGCAGCGACGCCGCGUGAACGAAGAAGGCUUUCGAGUCGUAAAGUUCUUUUAUAUGGGAAGAUAAUGACGGUACCAUAAGAAAAAGCCACGGCUAACUACGUGCCAGCAGCCGCGGUAAUACGUAGGUGGCAAGCGUUGUCCGGAUUUAUUGGGCGUAAAGCGAGCGCAGGCGGUCAAUUAAGUCUGAUGUGAAAGCCCCCGGCUCAACCGGGGAGGGUCAUUGGAAACUGGUUGACUUGAGUGCAGAAGAGGAGAGUGGAAUUCCAUGUGUAGCGGUGAAAUGCGUAGAUAUAUGGAGGAACACCAGUGGCGAAGGCGACUCUCUGGUCUGUAACUGACGCUGAGGCUCGAAAGCGUGGGUAGCAAACAGG
RNAcentral lists this ribosomal RNA (404 nucleotides) under Bacteroidota bacterium. RNAcentral describes it as "Bacteroidetes bacterium partial 16S ribosomal RNA". It matches the Rfam family "Bacterial small subunit ribosomal RNA", at positions 355 to 776 of the family's 1533-position model. The record is from RNAcentral. Lineage: Bacteria; Pseudomonadati; Bacteroidota.